RNAcentral lists this long non-coding RNA (244 nucleotides) under Nicotiana benthamiana. Its description in RNAcentral is "long non-coding RNA (NBEN_LNC001153)". The record is from RNAcentral. Lineage: Eukaryota; Viridiplantae; Streptophyta; Magnoliopsida; Solanales; Solanaceae.
UUGCUAAAAUCAUAAGCUACCUUUCUUUCCAAUCUCUGUUGAUCUGGUUUCGGCAGAGGUGCAUGCAUGGGCAUGGACUUCUUCUCCAUCCGACUCAUGCUCUUUCUAACUUUGCUAUAGCCAGACUUCCCCUGGAGAGGGCCGAGAAGAUCCUGGACACUAAUGCGGCCAUCUCCAUCCAGAAUAUCACGACUAGGAUUAUAUUCAAACUCUGGAUAUGCCUCGGAUAUAAUAACAUCAUUUU